Molecule: small nuclear RNA, 24 nt
Filed under: Arabidopsis thaliana (thale cress)
Lineage: Eukaryota; Viridiplantae; Streptophyta; Magnoliopsida; Brassicales; Brassicaceae
Description: snRNA_06600
Source: RNAcentral
GUUACUUGUUACAGUGCACAGUAU